This 309-nucleotide ribosomal RNA is filed under the name Triticum aestivum (bread wheat). Its description in RNAcentral is "partial small subunit ribosomal RNA". The record is from RNAcentral. Lineage: Eukaryota; Viridiplantae; Streptophyta; Magnoliopsida; Poales; Poaceae.
AUGUUAAUGGUUGUGGCAGAAAAUAUGCAGACGAUCAUUAUUGAGACAGAUUGCCAGACAGUCUGCAGUAUGUGGAAUGUGAAGGAGGACAGAUCUGCGGGAUCGAUGUUGAUUAAUGAGAUGAAGUCAUAUCUCAUAAACUUCCAGGAAUUCAAACUGAAUUUUGUACGUAGAAGUGCAAACACCCCUGCUCAUAUUUGCGCUAGGGGGGCACUAGUUUUAGCUGAUCAUUCUGUUGAUCAUCAUGUAAUUCCUGAGAACCUGAUUGCGGCUGUGCAAUCAGACCUUGUUCCGCCUAUUAUUCAAUAA